Molecule: ribosomal RNA, 319 nt
Filed under: uncultured eukaryote
Lineage: Eukaryota
Description: partial 18S ribosomal RNA
Rfam family: Eukaryotic small subunit ribosomal RNA
Source: RNAcentral
CCCUUAGAUGUUCUGGGCCGCACGCGCGCUACAAUGGUCUUCGCAAACGGAUGCAUUCUCGAAGGAGAAUGCCAAUCUUGGAAUCUAUGCCUUGGUCGGGACAGUUGCUUGCAAUUUUUCGACUCGAACCAGGAAUUCCUUGUAAUCGUGAUUCAUCACAUCACGAUGAAUACGUCCCUGCCCUUUGUACACACCGCCCGUCGCUCCUACCGAUCGAAGAGUUAGGUGAAUUGUUUUGAUCGAUAAGAUUUGACUAUGGUCAACUCUCGUUGUGAAAUUCUGUGAAUCUGACUGUUUAGAGGACGGAAAAGUCGUAACA